GUAGCUGCUGAUGGAACAUGUGUCUAAAAGAAGAAUUGCCCAGGAAUAUGUCUUUUACCCCACCUUCCAGGAACAAGCUUGGUACCCCUCAUUCUGAUCUGGCUUGAUGGUCAGAGGAGUUCCUGUGGGUUCCCCAGGAUCAAGUCAUCAGGAUCUCCACUCAGCAGCUCUCAAGCUCUUAGAAGAGCCGGUGUCCCUGGAGUGCUCUCCACAGCCUGCCCUGACGCCUGCAUGGUAGCCUCCCUGGACUUAUCAGAAGGCAUACAGAAGAGCUAAGAGAGGAACUCUGGUCUCAGGUGUCAAGUACUUCCUGUCUCUGGUAUCUUGGGCCUGCCUGUUACCUGGACUUCUAAAAGUUUGACAUAAGUGUUUAAUGAGCAAACAGAUCAGCAUUCCAGAAAG
Molecule: long non-coding RNA, 402 nt
Organism: Peromyscus eremicus (cactus mouse)
Lineage: Eukaryota; Metazoa; Chordata; Mammalia; Rodentia; Cricetidae
Exons: 3
Source: RefSeq, a predicted model, not a curated record